Molecule: long non-coding RNA, 2253 nt
Organism: Wasmannia auropunctata (little fire ant)
Lineage: Eukaryota; Metazoa; Arthropoda; Insecta; Hymenoptera; Formicidae
Exons: 2
Source: RefSeq, a predicted model, not a curated record
AUAAUUCCAGCUAACAUUUAAACGGUUAAAUUUUUCUGUAAUUUUUUAGAAUUAUAUUUUUUUGUUACAUAAAAGUAUGAUUCAAAUGUUUCAUGCAAGAAUUAAUAAAAAAAAAUCAAUAGAUAAGUUAUAAAAUGUCUUCGUAAAACUGAACAAAUAAAUCUCGAUUGUACCUACAUUGUUAUAAUACAGAUUUAUCUAAAUGAAGUAUUUCGCAUUUUAAACGAGUUUAAUGAUAACAGUUUUCGAUUUAUUGAUUUAUAGUAGGCGAUAGUAAAAUAGCUUGAGUUUCAUCUGCCAAUUGAAUUAAGGAAUAUUAAUCAAGUCACGCUGUUUGCGUGUCGCGCGAUACGGAAUUUGUGAAACCAGAGAUUAAAUUUGGUCAAAUUUUCUAUAGCACAGUGUAAGUUGUAUACUUGCAAGCUGAAACCUAGCAGAAACAAAUCUACUAACCCUUUGUGGACGGAUGGCUUUUGGAACCACUAUCUUUUCAAGUAUUUUGUAAACUGAUCGCUCGAUUUUCAUAAAACUUGAUUUAUGGAGUAAUUUGAUAAAGCUUUAUUCGAAUUUGAGGUAAAAAAUAAGACAUUCAAAAUAUUGGAUCCAAUAUAUACGAAACUUCAAAAAAAAUAAUCAGAUGGCUAUAAACACACCAACUUUCAAACUGUACGGGAAAGGCUAUGGAAAAUUGAGUCUCGGUGAAAUGAAUUGGUUUUCAUAUACAACUUACAAUAUGAUAUAUAAAAGAUAUCAGGCAGACACGAGGCUCAAUAAUGAAUAGCUUUUGUGCUAUGGUGUCAUCAAAUGUGUAGAAUUUAUGCUCUGUACAAUUAUUAUAGUAAAGCUUUGAUCUGGAAAUCCUUCGAAAUGUAUCUCUUUUAAUCCUGUCGUUUUUUUAUAUGUGAAAACCAACUCAUUUCACCGAGAUUCAAUUUUCCAUAUAAUUAGUGCGAGGGUCUUUGGAACUCUAAUGGGAAUUAUAAAUGUCGUUACAUAUGCGCGAGAACUGAAGAGUGAAUAUAGAUUUUACAUGAAGUCAGGCCCGGCGAUUUAUCUCGGCUCUAGGUGUGAAAUACUAUGGAAAUUUCUGAUGAAAAAUCCCCCCACUCCACCAGUAGUUGAUAAAAUUUUCAACCUCCGCUAAAUCUCUCUGUGAUCGAGUAUGGAUUUUUUCGGAUGUGGAAAUCCACCUGAUUUUGGAAUGUGGACUGCUCCACACAAUUCACACAUAAAACGCCGGGCCUGAAUGAAGUGGAAAUUUCUUCGUGAUUUGUUCGGUUGGAGAUGAGUUUUGUGACAUAAGUUUUUUCUCUUUCAUUGAAGAUUAUUACCCUUUUGAAUUUUUACAUUUUCAGAUUACAUUCAAAUUCAAUGAUCCCAAGAUUCGUAUCACUCUAGUAAUCAGAUUUUUUAAAUUUGAUCCGCCAUAUUGAAUCCACAUUUUAAAUUUUAAAAUUCUGAGGUCAAAAUCGAAUUCACUGAUUUUGAAAACCCUUAGAAAACAAGGUCUCCCAUAAAUUACUUUGUUAAAAAGUUCCUAUUUAAGUUUAUUUACUUUAUUAGAGAUCUCCUCAAAGGAUUCAAAAUAGAAAUGUUUUUUUUUUUAAUAAUUCUAUAUAAGGCUUCGAGAAAAAAUAAACAAGUUAGAUUUGCUGACAACAAGCAAAUUCUAAACUUUAACAUUCUGUUAACAACUGUCGAUACUUAAUUUUUACAAGCUAUUACAUACCUAGUUUUCAAUUACAUAUGCUGAAAAAUCCAUUAACGUUUUAAUAAUAAAUGUUAGAAUAUCUAAAUUAAUAAUUUAUUUCAGCGUAUUCGAGACGUUGUGUAUAAGAGUUGGAUAUAAAGAGUUGGAUAGCAGCAACAUCUUUUAAGUGUAAUUAGAAUUUUUUAUUGCAUAAUUUCUAUAUCAAAAAAUAAUAUUCAUACCAUUACGUCAAGCAAAAAAAAACACAUCACAAUUCACCUAUCUUUGUAAAAGAUAAGUGAACUUUCUUUUUAUUACAUAUAGUUCUUUAUUAUAAAUAAUAUUUAUCGUUACAUAAACAGUAAUGCUAUAGCGUUUAUUAUUAGGCUUCGUAGUUUUUUAAUAAUUUCUAGUUAAUUUUCAACAAAUGGCACUAAUAUAAAACAACAUUACAGCCAUGUUUGUAAUAUACGACUUACAUAACUGAUCAAAUUGUACUAUUAUGACUAAAUCUUUUUUGAAAAUUUGUGAACAAAGGUAUCUGUAGCAAGAUCAUAAAUAUA